Molecule: small RNA, 213 nt
Filed under: Marmota monax (woodchuck)
Lineage: Eukaryota; Metazoa; Chordata; Mammalia; Rodentia; Sciuridae
Source: RNAcentral
CCAAACUGAUGAUUUGAAGAAAUUGGGAGUUUUGUGAAGAAAAUGACUUUAUCAACUAAGCAAUGAAUGAUUGUUGAAAAUUGCCCUAAUCUAUAAGAAUUUUAUCAGUGUGUGUGUGUGUGUGUGUGUUUAUGUAUGCUUAAUCCAGGGGUGAUGUACUCCUGAGUUACAAUCCCAGAGGCCACCUCUCUACCACUUUCAUUUUUAUUUUGA